GAUGAACGCUGGCGGCGUGCCUAAUACAUGCCAGUCGAGCGAACACAUGGUGAGCUUGCUCCUCUAACGUUAGCGGCUGACGGGUGGGUAACACGUGUAUAACCUCCCUAUAUGUCUUGGAUAACUUCGGGGAAACGCAGCUGCUACCAUAUAAUAUAUUCAACCGCAUAGUUCAAUGGUGAAACACGGUUUUCGUGUCACUUAUAGAUGGAUUCGCGCCGCAUUAGCUAGUUGGUAAGGUACCGGCUUACCAAGGCAACGAUGCGUAGCCGACCUGAGAGGGUGAUCGGCCACACUGGAACUGAGACACGGUCAAGACUCCUACGGGAGGCAGCAAUAGGGAAUAUUCCGCAAUGGGCGAAAGCCUGACGGAGCAACGCCGCGUGAGUGAUGAAGGUCUUCGGAUUGUAAAACUCUGUUAUUAGGGAAGAACAACUGUGUAAGUAACUAUGGACGUCUUGACGGUACCUAAUCAGAAAGCCCCGGCUAACUACGUG
Molecule: ribosomal RNA, 497 nt
Filed under: uncultured bacterium
Lineage: Bacteria
Description: partial 16S ribosomal RNA
Rfam family: Bacterial small subunit ribosomal RNA
Source: RNAcentral